AAGGAAAACUGAUCUUCCGGUUAUUUUAUUUAUUUUGUUAUAACGCAGUACAGCAAGGCAGAGUGUGGUAAGCAGUAGAGAUCGAGAACAUGGCAGACGGAUAUGAGGACGGAGCCAUGAAGCCGACUCCACAGAAUGGGAGUCACAUUGUGUCAAUCAGACUCUACAGGAACAUUCUUAUGUCCGUGUUGAGGACAGAGAUGCAACUGUGUGUGAGUAUCUACUAUUUUAGAAUGUUGAUGAUAUUUUAUGCUUCAAUAUUGUUUAUGUACAUAAUGUAAUUAUGCUAUGUAUUGACAAUGCACAAAAAUGUUUUCCAGCUGCAUCCAGGACCUACUGCCAGUCUUCCGGAUGUAGCUAAAGAAAGAAGCAGGUAAGAUUUAUUACUAAUCUAGAGAUGUCACAAUUCCUUGAAUGAUUAAACUACUGUGAUUUAUUAAAAUCCAUCAAAGCAAAUUAUCUGCGUCAGAGUUUGUUGAACUAUGUUUUACUAUUCAUUUCCAACUGCUUUUAAUUAUUUUUUCUUCCAAUUGUUUCCAAGUGUUUUCUUUUUCAUUAAAGUUUUUAUUUUUUGUAAGAAUGUAUUAAUGUGUUUUUUUGUUUUUUUGUUUUAAUGUCUUAUGUGUGCAUACUAAGCUGGAAGUUGCCAAACAUUUUCACUGUAGCUCAUAAUAAUUGUCUGUCUGUAUUAACAGCUGAUGGAGGAAGGCAGAGAGUACUGGCAGCAGAGGAGGUGGCAUUCUGGGAAGAUGGCAGCUAUGAGGCGGUGUCAGGAUGGACCCCAAGUUCCUCCAACCAGGACCUCAGUGACAUCAGGACUGCAUUACAGGAAGAGACGUCAGGUCCACGCUACAGGAGAGAUGUUGGGCCUGUCCUGAACGCAGCAUAAUGUUUG
Molecule: long non-coding RNA, 895 nt
Organism: Poecilia latipinna (sailfin molly)
Lineage: Eukaryota; Metazoa; Chordata; Actinopteri; Cyprinodontiformes; Poeciliidae
Exons: 2
Source: RefSeq, a predicted model, not a curated record